AGGAUCAUUCACACACAUCCAACCUUUUCACGUGCAUAUACCAGUGAGGGGGUUUGUGCAAGGGUGGUAAUGCCUUUGCGCACGCCUCCGCGGGCGACAGCGCGGAAGCGGAUCGUUUCUGCCUUUCGUGAGUGUCGCCACUUUUUUCGUGCCACUGUGUGUGCCUGCGUGAAGCUAGCUUUGCCAGCUUCAUCGCCUCUGGCAACCAUGGCUGAAGGUGCGCAAGCAUCUUCUCUGUAAGCCUUUACAACUUUCAGCGACGGAUGUCUCGGCUCAAACAACGAUGAAGGGCGCAGCGAAGUGCGAUAAGCAUUGUGAAUUGCAGAAUUCCGCGAACCAAUGGGCUUUUGAACGCAUACUGCUCCCUCAGUUCUCCUGAGGGAACGCUUGCUUCAGUGUCUUCUCCAUCUGUGCUCCUUGUGGGCGUGUUUGUGCGCCAAGGCUGGCUUCUUGCAAGCUGCUUUGGCGCGCUGAGUGCAGACUCGUGCGCAUUCCAUGCGGGCAACCCAGGAAUGGCCUUGGCCUUUUCAUUGCUCUGUGGCUGGGCACUUGUUGCCGUUUUGAGGUGGUGCUUCGGCGCCUCU
This 584-nucleotide unclassified non-coding RNA is filed under the name Moestrupia sp. AW22-12. RNAcentral describes it as "partial contains ITS1, 5.8S rRNA and ITS2". The stretch from base 249 to 401 matches the Rfam family "5.8S ribosomal RNA". RNAcentral also lists the same sequence under 3 other names. The record is from RNAcentral. Lineage: Eukaryota; Dinophyceae; Gymnodiniales; Gymnodiniaceae.